CACGUAGGGUGCGAGCGUUGUCCGGAAUUAUUGGGCGUAAAGAGCUCGUAGGCGGUCUGUCGCGUCGAAUGUGAAAACCCGGGGCUCAACCCCGGGCCUGCAUUCGAUACGGGCAGACUAGAGUUCGGUAGGGGAGUCUGGAAUUCCUGGUGUAGCGGUGAAAUGCGCAGAUAUCAGGAGGAACACCGGUGGCGAAGGCGGGACUCUGGGCCGAUACUGACGCUGAGGAGCGAAGGCGUGGGGAGCGAACAGG
This 253-nucleotide ribosomal RNA is filed under the name uncultured bacterium. RNAcentral describes it as "partial 16S ribosomal RNA". It matches the Rfam family "Bacterial small subunit ribosomal RNA", at positions 524 to 776 of the family's 1533-position model. The record is from RNAcentral.